AUUGAACGCUGGCGGCAGGCCUAACACAUGCAAGUCGAGCGGAUGAAGGGAGCUUGCUCCUGGAUUCAGCGGCGGACGGGUGAGUAAUGCCUAGGAAUCUGCCUGGUAGUGGGGGAUAACGUCCGGAAACGGGCGCUAAUACCGCAUACGUCCUGAGGGAGAAAGUGGGGGAUCUUCGGACCUCACGCUAUCAGAUGAGCCUAGGUCGGAUUAGCUAGUUGGUGGGGUAAAGGCCUACCAAGGCGACGAUCCGUAACUGGUCUGAGAGGAUGAUCAGUCACACUGGAACUGAGACACGGUCCAGACUCCUACGGGAGGCAGCAGUGGGGAAUAUUGGACAAUGGGCGAAAGCCUGAUCCAGCCAUGCCGCGUGUGUGAAGAAGGUCUUCGGAUUGUAAAGCACUUUAAGUUGGGAGGAAGGGCAGUAAGUUAAUACCUUGCAGUUUUGACGUUACCAACAGAAUAAGCACCGGCUAACUUCGU
Molecule: ribosomal RNA, 483 nt
Filed under: uncultured bacterium
Lineage: Bacteria
Description: partial 16S ribosomal RNA
Rfam family: Bacterial small subunit ribosomal RNA
Source: RNAcentral